Molecule: ribosomal RNA, 328 nt
Filed under: uncultured eukaryote
Lineage: Eukaryota
Description: partial 18S ribosomal RNA
Rfam family: Eukaryotic small subunit ribosomal RNA
Source: RNAcentral
CCCUUAGAUGUUCUGGGCCGCACGCGCGCUACAAUGAUGAAUUCAACGAGUUUAUAACCUUGGUUGAAAAGCCUGGGUAAUCUUUUGAACUUUCGUCGUGAUGGGGCUAGACCCUUGCAAUUAUUGGUCUCCAACGAGGAAUGCCUAGUAGGCGCAAGUCAUCAGCUUGCGUCGAUUACGUCCCUGCCCUUUGUACACACCGCCCGUCGCUCCUACCGAUUGGGUGUGCUGGUGAAAUGUUCGGAUCGGCCGUUUGUCGCGGUUUCCGCGUCAUGUGGCUGAGAAGUUCAUUAAACCCUCCCACCUAGAGGAAGGAGAAGUCGUAACA